RNAcentral lists this ribosomal RNA (170 nucleotides) under uncultured Escherichia sp. RNAcentral's name for it is "partial 16S ribosomal RNA". It matches the Rfam family "Bacterial small subunit ribosomal RNA", at positions 338 to 500 of the family's 1533-position model. Lineage: Bacteria; Pseudomonadati; Pseudomonadota; Gammaproteobacteria; Enterobacterales; Enterobacteriaceae. The record is from RNAcentral.
CCUACGGGAGGCAGCAGUGGGGAAUAUUGCGCAAUGGGCGCAAGCUUGAUGCAGCCAUGCCGCGUGUAUGAAGAAGGCCUUCGGGUUGUAAAGUACUUUCAGCGGGGAGGAAGGGAGUAAAGUUAAUACCUGUGGUCAAUGACGGUACCCGCAGAAGAAGCCCCGGCCGG